UAAGAACGCUGGCGGCAGGCCUACACAUGCAAGUCGAGCGGAUGAGUGGAGCUUGCUCCAUGAUUCAGCGGCGGACGGGUGAGUAAUGCCUAGGAAUCUGCCUGGUAGUGGGGGACAACGUUUCGAAAGGAACGCUAAUACCGCAUACGUCCUACGGGAGAAAGUGGGGGAUCUUCGGACCUCACGCUAUCAGAUGAGCCUAGGUCGGAUUAGCUAGUUGGUGAGGUAAAGGCUCACCAAGGCGACGAUCCGUAACUGGUCUGAGAGGAUGAUCAGUCACACUGGAACUGAGACACGGUCCAGACUCCUACGGGAGGCAGCAGUGGGGAAUAUUGGACAAUGGGCGAAAGCCUGAUCCAGCCAUGCCGCGUGUGUGAAGAAGGUCUUCGGAUUGUAAAGCACUUUAAGUUGGGAGGAAGGGCAGUAAGUUAAUACCUUGCUGUUUUGACGUUACCAACAGAAUAAGCACCGGCUAACUUCGUGCCAGCCCGCCGCGGUA
RNAcentral lists this ribosomal RNA (499 nucleotides) under Stutzerimonas stutzeri. RNAcentral describes it as "bacterial SSU rRNA". It matches the Rfam family "Bacterial small subunit ribosomal RNA", at positions 31 to 522 of the family's 1533-position model. The record is from RNAcentral. Lineage: Bacteria; Pseudomonadati; Pseudomonadota; Gammaproteobacteria; Pseudomonadales; Pseudomonadaceae.